RNAcentral lists this ribosomal RNA (253 nucleotides) under uncultured bacterium. RNAcentral's name for it is "partial 16S ribosomal RNA". It matches the Rfam family "Bacterial small subunit ribosomal RNA", at positions 524 to 776 of the family's 1533-position model. The record is from RNAcentral.
UACGUAGGGUGCGAGCGUUAAUCGGAAUUACUGGGCGUAAAGCGUGCGCAGGCGGUUCGUUGUGUCGGCGGUGAAAGCCCCGGGCUUAACCUGGGAAUGGCCGUCGAAACUGGCGAACUGGAGUGUGGCAGAGGGGGGUGGAAUUCCGCGUGUAGCAGUGAAAUGCGUAGAGAUGCGGAGGAACACCGAUGGCGAAGGCAGCCCCCUGGGCUGACACUGACGCUCAGGCACGAAAGCGUGAGGAGCAAACAGG